GAUGAACGCUGGCGGCGUGCCUAAUACAUGCAAGUCGAACGCGAGAGGAGGGAGCUUGCUCCCUCUGAUCGAGUGGCGGACGGGUGAGUAACACGUAAGCAAACUGCCCAUCCGCCGGGGAUAACUGCGGGAAACCGUGGCUAAUACCGGAUAAUCCUCACCACCGCGGGGUGGGGAGUUGAAAGCCGGUUUCGGCGGUCGCUGAUGGCUGGGCCGGCGGGGCAUUAGCUGGUUGGCGGGGUAAAGGCCCACCAAGGUAACGAUGCGUAGCCGACCUGAGAGGGUGAUCGGCCACAAUGGGACUGAGACACGGCCCAGACUCCUACGGGAGGCAGCAGUAGGGAAUCUUCCGGAAUGGACGCAAGUCUGACGGAGCAACGCCGCGUUAGUGAAGAAGGGUUUCGGCUCGUAAAACUCUGUUGUUAAGGAAGAACGCCAGGUAGAGUAACUGCUACCUGUGUGACGGUACUUAACCAGAAAGCCACGGCUAACUACGUGCCAGCAGCCGCGGUAA
RNAcentral lists this ribosomal RNA (514 nucleotides) under uncultured bacterium. RNAcentral describes it as "partial 16S ribosomal RNA". It matches the Rfam family "Bacterial small subunit ribosomal RNA", at positions 28 to 523 of the family's 1533-position model. The record is from RNAcentral.